Molecule: ribosomal RNA, 440 nt
Filed under: uncultured bacterium
Lineage: Bacteria
Description: partial 16S ribosomal RNA
Rfam family: Bacterial small subunit ribosomal RNA
Source: RNAcentral
CCUACGGGAGGCAGCAGUGGGGGAUAUUGCACAAUGGGGGAAACCCUGAUGCAGCGACGCCGCGUGGGUGAAGAAGCGCCUCGGCGCGUAAAGCCCUGUCAGCAGGGAAGAAAAUGACGGUACCUGAAGAAGAAGCCACGGCCAACUACGUGCCAGCAGGCGCGGUAAUACGGAGGGGGCGAGCGUUAUACGGAUUGACUGGGUGGAAAGGGGGCGCAGACGGCAAUGCAAGCCAGGAGUGAAAGCCCGGGGCCCAACCCCGGGACUGCUCUUGGAACUGGGUGGCUAGAGUGCAGGAGGGGCAGGCGGAAUUCCUGGUGGAGCGGUGAAAUGCGUAGAUAUCAGGAGGAACACCGGUGGCGAAGGCGGCCUGCUGGACUGCAACUGACGUUGAGGCGCGAAAGCGUGGGGAGCAAACAGGAUUAGAUACCCGAGUAGUC